UACGGAGGGUGCAAGCAUUGAUCGGAAUUACUGGGCGUAAAGGGCGCGUAGGCGGUAGGAUAAGUCAGAUGUGAAAUUCCGCAGCUCAACUGCGGAGCUGCAUUUGAAACUAUCCAACUAGAGCAUAGCUAGGGAAAACGGAAUUCCACAUGUAGCGGUGAAAUGCGUAGAUAUGUGGAGGAACACCGGUGGUGAAGACGGUUUUCUGGGCUAUAGCUGACGCUGAGGCGCGAAAGCUAGGGGAGCAAACAGG
Molecule: ribosomal RNA, 253 nt
Filed under: uncultured bacterium
Lineage: Bacteria
Description: partial 16S ribosomal RNA
Rfam family: Bacterial small subunit ribosomal RNA
Source: RNAcentral